Molecule: non-coding RNA, 148 nt
Filed under: Nomascus leucogenys (northern white-cheeked gibbon)
Lineage: Eukaryota; Metazoa; Chordata; Mammalia; Primates; Hylobatidae
Source: Rfam by way of RNAcentral
GCCAGGCAUGGUGACGUGUGCCUGUAAUCCCAACUACUUGGGAGGCUGAGGCAGGAGAAUUGCUUGAACCCAGGAGGCAGAGGUUGCAGUAAGCCAAGAUCGUGCCACUGCACUCCUGCCUGGGCGACAGAGCAAGACUCUGUCUCAA